This 776-nucleotide ribosomal RNA is filed under the name uncultured Neocallimastigales. Its description in RNAcentral is "partial large subunit ribosomal RNA". It matches the Rfam family "Eukaryotic large subunit ribosomal RNA", at positions 20 to 642 of the family's 3401-position model. The record is from RNAcentral. Lineage: Eukaryota; Fungi; Neocallimastigomycota; Neocallimastigomycetes; Neocallimastigales.
UACUAGAGUAGCACUCGCAUAUCAAUAAGCGGAGGAAAAGAAACUAACAAGGAUUCCCCCUAGUAACGGCGAGUGAAGCGGGAAGAGCUCAAAUUUGAGAUCUUAAAGGGUUUCCCUUUACGAAUUGUAGUUUAAAAGAAGUGUUUUCUGUUGAGGUUUUGGUAAAAGUUCUUUGGAAUAGGACAUCAUAGAGGGUGAGAAUCCCGUAUUUGACCUUUACUUUCAACUUUGUGAUACACUUUCAAAGAGUCGGAUUGUUUGGGAAUGCAGUCCAAAAUGGGUGGUAAAUUUCAUCUAAAGCUAAAUAUUGGCGAGAGACCGAUAGCGAACAAGUACCGUGAGGGAAAGAUGAAAAGAACUUUGAAAAGAGAGUUAAACAGUACGUGAAAUUGUCAAAAGGGAGGCGUUUGACACCAGUGUUGUUUUUCUGAAAAUCAAUUAAAGAACUGUUUAUGCUAAGCUGUUUAGACUUUAUCAGCUAAUCUGUUUAGUUUUGAGCUUUCCUUUAAUGCACUUUUCAGUUAACAAGUCAACAUCAAUUUCUUUUGCUGUAAAAAAGCUUGAGGAAGGUGGCUUGAGAUUCGUCUUAAGUGUUUAUAGCCUCUUGCCUAUGCAGUCGGAGAGAUUGAGGUCUGCAGCGUAGAUCCUUCGGGGCUAAAUGCAUUUGUGCUAAGUUAUAGCAUUUUAUAGACAACUUGUUGACUAUGAUUUGUCUUGUAGCUUACUCGCUUAUGUUAUUUUACCUACGCUUAGGAUGUUGAGCGCAUGUCCUCUCU